RNAcentral lists this ribosomal RNA (137 nucleotides) under uncultured bacterium. RNAcentral describes it as "partial 16S ribosomal RNA". The record is from RNAcentral.
GCACGAAAGUUAGCCGGGGCUUAUUCUGCGGGUACCGUCAUCAUCGUCCCCGCCAAAAGAGCUUUACAACCCGAAGGCCUUCAUCACUCACGCGGCAUGGCUGGAUCAGGGUUGCCCCCAUUGUCCAAUAUUCCCCA